GUUUCGCCACUCUAUCUCACCUCAUUUUUCUUUCCGCCAUCAUCUACUGUUUGUCUCUGUGUCACGGAGCGUUUACGUGCAGACAGGAUGAGAAUUGCCAGACCAGGACGAAAGCGCCAGCCUGGAAAGGAUGCAAAUAGACCUGGAAUAACUAUGUGAACGCAAAAAUGGACUGUUGGGGGUGGAAGGAAGGUUUCCCAAACAAGUCUUUAGUGGUACAUGCCGUUUAGCGAAGCCGGUGGGGUCCGUGAUCUGGGUCUGAGCGGGUCUGAGCGAAUAGGGAUGUGAUCUAGACGGCUGUGCUAAAUGCACCAUGAAUGGCAACUGGUUCCGGCUGGUUAAAUAAAAAAAACGAGAUGUGCAGUUUCCAGGUAAUGGAGGUGUAAAGUGUGUAUGACAGGUCAAGCUAAUGGGCCGCAGCUCCUCUGAGAAAACACACGCACCUCUAAAUGCACAAGACGGAUGCAGCCGCCAGCUGUCGAUGAGAAAGCAGGAUGUGGAGCUUAUCGGAAGAGACUUUCCAAUGAGAGUCAGCAGAUUUGGGGUUGCUAGGGCGCUAAGAUAAAUGGAACCUUGGAAUUUGAACUGCUGCUUCGCAAGUGCUCAGACAUCAGUCAGGUCCAAUCCACCGAGGUGGACACAAAUUUACACGCCACUUAUAAACCUUGGGGGGUUGUCUGAUUGAAUUCUCUUCACUCGCGUCCAACUGCGAUUAACUUAUCCCCUCCUCCUCCGCCGGACGUCCUUCUCCACUGCCCCAGUGCAUCUCUGUCAGCCAAUCAAUAAGCUAUUAUGGCUCCCAAACAGCAGGUGAAAUGAACUUAUAAGAGUACCUGCAGACUCGGCACUCUGGUAAUCCUGUUGGAAAGGGUCUAAUGAGGGAAAGCGGGCCACGGCAGAGGUGCGUUUCAAUGACACGCACGCACACACCUGCAACAAAACCUGCAGCUGUGCUGGGAAAGCGAGGAGUGUCCUUCAGGACAGCUGCAUUGCGGUGCACAGAACUGCGGAGGAGCUCCAACAGUUCCCACCGGUGUUUGCACAUAUUUCUGGCAUUCAAUUUGCAUAAGUUCACUGCACUCGGUGGCCCUGAAAACCACAGUACACCAGGCACUACACUUAUUGUUUGUGCUUUAAAACUGCGGUAAGGUUGCCCAUGUUAAUCUAUGAUUUUACAGUGGUAACAAUAACUUUAAAUGGUAUUCUAGCUGAAACUGUGGUUCAAUGACAUUUUUUCAAAGGCAAAUAAAUGUAUAUGCUCCAAAAUGUGGUUGCAACUUUAAAAGACUGUGGAAAUAAUGAGAUUGGUUCUUCUCAUUCAAAGAGUUUUUCUUUAUUUUCAUGACUAUGAAAAUUGUAGAGUCACACUGAAGUCAUCGAGGGCUAUUUGAGCAAGAAGGAGAGUGAUGGGGUGCUGCUCCAGAUGACCUGACCUCCACAGUCACCGGACCUGAACCCAAUCCAGAUGGUUUAGGGGUGAGCUGGGCCGCAGACAGAAGGCAAAAGGGCCAACAAGUGCUAAGCAUCUCUCGGGAACUCCUUCAAGACUGUUGAAGACCAUUUCAGGUGACUACCUCUUGAAGCUCAUCAAGAGAACGCCAAGAGUGUGCAAAGCAGUAAUCAAAGCAGAAGGUGGCUACUUUGAAGAACCUACAAUAUGACAUAUUUUCAGUUGUUUCACACUGUUUUGUUAUGUAUAUAAUUCCAUAUAUAAUUCCACUUGUGUUAAUUCAUAGUUUUGAUGCCUUCAGUGUGAAUCUACAAUUUUCAUAGUCAUGAAAAUAAAGAAAACUCUUUGAAUGAGAAGGUGUGUCCAAACUUUUGUUCUGUAAUGUAUGUAUAUAAACACACAGAGAGCUGCUUAAAUUAAUUACAAAUUGUAGAUAGUAACAAUCCAUUACAUUACAAAAUUUAGGUAAUGUAAUCAGACUACUUUUUGAUUACUUUUAACGUAACUUGUUUAUCAGAAUGAUUUAUACAUGAUAAUAUUGCACCAUGCUGAUAUUAAAAUGCAAAGAACAUA
This is a long non-coding RNA of Carassius gibelio (silver crucian carp), 2023 nucleotides long. RefSeq lists it as uncharacterized. Lineage: Eukaryota; Metazoa; Chordata; Actinopteri; Cypriniformes; Cyprinidae. The transcript is spliced from 2 exons. The record is from RefSeq and is a predicted model, not a curated record.